UGAAAGUUCUGAACUCUUUGGUGGG
RNAcentral lists this non-coding RNA (25 nucleotides) under Mus musculus (house mouse). Lineage: Eukaryota; Metazoa; Chordata; Mammalia; Rodentia; Muridae. The record is from RNAcentral.